AAGUCGUAACAAGGUUUCCGUAGGUGAACCUGCGGAAGGAUCAUUAGUGAAAAGUUUAUACUUUACACACAAACAAACGUUGAACCAUCUCACUUGGCAGGUUCCUUGAAUUAGUCUGGUCUUUACUGACUGGAAGGCAUUUAGGGCCCCUAGGAAGGAGUGUAAAAACUCUGGAAUUUGGGUGUGUUGCAGCCUACCUGGCCUAGAGCGGAUGCUCGAAGCCUAAGCUAUGCAACAAUACAGGCUUGCUUCAUUGCUAUUUAUUCUGUUGGCUAUUUAAGUUUACAUUAUUGUCUAAAAAAUAAUCAAGAGUAUACAACCUUUAACAAUGGAUCUCUUGGCUCCU
This 346-nucleotide unclassified non-coding RNA is filed under the name fungal sp. RNAcentral's name for it is "partial internal transcribed spacer region". The stretch from base 1 to 46 matches the Rfam family "Eukaryotic small subunit ribosomal RNA", at positions 1786 to 1831 of the family's 1831-position model. The record is from RNAcentral. Lineage: Eukaryota; Fungi.